UCAGACCGGAGUAAUCCAGGUCAGUUUCUAUCUAUAUAUGAGUUUCUUCUAGUACGAAAGGACCGAAGAAACACGGCCCAUAUCUUUACAAGCCGUAGCUACUAAAUUAUGAUUUAAACUCAAUAAUAUCGUAGCCCAUAAAUCUACUCAAGACAAGAGUCG
RNAcentral lists this ribosomal RNA (162 nucleotides) under Rhinella casconi. RNAcentral's name for it is "partial 16S ribosomal RNA". The record is from RNAcentral. Lineage: Eukaryota; Metazoa; Chordata; Amphibia; Anura; Bufonidae.